GCCUUCGUGAUGUAGUGGUCUACAUGCUCGACGUGUAACUGAGAGGUCUGUGGUUCGAUUCCCGGUGAAGGCG
Molecule: non-coding RNA, 73 nt
Organism: Stegodyphus mimosarum
Lineage: Eukaryota; Metazoa; Arthropoda; Arachnida; Araneae; Eresidae
Source: Rfam